GCUCUCCAAACUCGGUCAUUUAGAGGAAGUAAAAGUCGUAACAAGGUCUCCGUUGGUGAACCAGCGGAGGGAUCAUUACCGAGUUUUCAACUCCCCAAC
This 99-nucleotide ribosomal RNA is filed under the name Beauveria bassiana. Its description in RNAcentral is "partial 18S ribosomal RNA". The stretch from base 1 to 78 matches the Rfam family "Eukaryotic small subunit ribosomal RNA", at positions 1754 to 1831 of the family's 1831-position model. The record is from RNAcentral. Lineage: Eukaryota; Fungi; Ascomycota; Sordariomycetes; Hypocreales; Cordycipitaceae.